UACGGGGGGAGCAAGCGUUGUUCGGAUUUACUGGGCGUAAAGGGCGCGUAGGCGGCCAGCACAAGUCAGUUGUGAAAUCUCCGGGCUUAACUCGGAAAGGUCAACUGAUACUGCGGGGCUAGAGUGCAGAAGGGGCAACUGGAAUUCUCGGUGUAGCGGUGAAAUGCGUAGAUAUCGAGAGGAACACCUGCGGCGAAGGCGGGUUGCUGGGCUGACACUGACGCUGAUGUGCGAAAGCUAGGGGAGCGAACGGG
RNAcentral lists this ribosomal RNA (254 nucleotides) under uncultured bacterium. RNAcentral describes it as "partial 16S ribosomal RNA". It matches the Rfam family "Bacterial small subunit ribosomal RNA", at positions 524 to 776 of the family's 1533-position model. The record is from RNAcentral.